This 483-nucleotide ribosomal RNA is filed under the name Veillonella parvula. Its description in RNAcentral is "bacterial SSU rRNA". It matches the Rfam family "Bacterial small subunit ribosomal RNA", at positions 28 to 483 of the family's 1533-position model. Lineage: Bacteria; Bacillati; Bacillota; Negativicutes; Veillonellales; Veillonellaceae. The record is from RNAcentral.
GACGAACGCGGGGGGCGUGCUUAACACAUGCAAGUCGAACGAAGAGCGAUGGAAGCUUGCUUCUAUCAAUUUUAGUGGCGAACGGGUGAGUAACGCGUAAUCAACCUGCCCUUCAGAGGGGGACAACAGUGGGAAACGACUGCUAAUACCGCAUACGAUCUAACCUCGGCAUCGAGGAAAGAUGAAAGGUGGCCUCUAUGUAUAAGCUAUCACUGAAGGAGGGGAUUGCGUCUGAUUAGCUAGUUGGAGGGGUAACGGCCCACCAAGGCGAUGAUCAGUAGCCGGUCUGAGAGGAUGAACGGCCACAUUGGGACUGAGACACGGCCCAGACUCCUACGGGAGGCAGCAGUGGGGAAUCUUCCGCAAUGGACGAAAGUCUGACGGAGCAACGCCGCGUGAGUGAUGACGGCCUUCGGGUUGUAAAGCUCUGUUAAUCGGGACGAAAGGCCUUCUUGCGAAUAGUAGAAGGAUGACGGACCGAAA